AGCAAACACACAAAGACACACUAUCAGCAGUGUGUUUGUUGCAUGCUGCCCAUAUCAUCUGGUAGCUUUUCCGUCAGAUGCACGUAGGCCGUGUAACCUGAGCGGGGCUGGUGGUUGGUAAGACAGGUUCAGAUAUUGAAUGUAAUAUCUCUCUGCAGUGUGGGAUUCAAUCAAGGCAUAACAUUGGACUGGAAAACCGACAACUAGACAGGUCGGUCCAAACAUCCUGACUUUUGAGAGAUUGUGUUUACUCAAUGCCGUAACAAAAGGUGCACAAAUUAAACAGCCACGAAAUAUUUUUCCUGUUCUGAUUAGUGUUAAAUGAACAGUUUAUCAGUGGUUUACCUUUAAAUAGAUUCUUGGAAACAGGUUGCACGAGAGUUGACGAGUCACAGAGUCCAGCAAAACCAAAUAAAGCAGUGACAUGAUGGGAGUGCUGAACAAGCACACAGUCACAAUGUCCCACAUAAAAACAGCAUAAGAGCUUAAGCAAACAUGGGCUAUGAAAAGGAAAGACAGCAGGAACAAAAUGUACUUGUGCUACACUGUUACAAAUCGCCAUGCCUGGCCUUGGCCCCUAAAACCGAACAGGCUUAUCAUAAGACAUUUGGCUGGGGACGAGGAAGGCUUUUCAGCUAAGCCCCUUUUAUAAUUUCUGGUGCAUUUUUCACAUUCCCUCAAGCUAGUCGUGGCCAGCAGGAGAACCGAGAGCCUGUCGCUCUUUGGCUGUGUGUUUGCAGAGCAGGAGAGUCUGAGUUUUCACCCCUGAACCUCAGGAGACUUUCCUGUCUCUGGGGCACACUUCACAAAGCACAUGUGUGACACCUUGGCACAACACGGUGAGAUUCCAACAGGAAGGGUGUGUCCACGCUGAGGGGAAGGACUUGAAUCACCACUUAGAGGUUACCAGGUCACAAAACCUGCUGAUGUAAUCUCACCGUAGCUGGUCCUAACAGCGGGUAUAAAACUUCAAGCCGUGAGAUAACGCCAGCCAGCUACGUCACGCAGCACUGUUAUGCUGGAGGAAGAAGAAGUUUAUAAUCGCUUAUUGGGAAGUUUAUAUCGUUUCUAUAGUAACAACUCAUUCACAGGGACAUAUACAGCAGAUGCUCCACAUAAACAGAUUUAAAAACAAUGUCUGUGAUCAUUGUUGUGGUGAACUAGGGGACGUUUAUUUAACAUUUAUGGAAGGAGUCUCCAGUGUCAACACUUUGUAGCAGUCAGAGCUGCCUGUAAUUUUUAUGUUCAGGGCAGAUUUUUUUUUUUUUGGCUUAUAAACCUAUAAAGAGAGGGAACGACUGUUUGUAGCUGCUAUAAUGUAAGUGAGAACAGGAACUAACUUUGUUUCCACAACAUUAAAUGUAACUAUAAACAGAUAAAAAGUAUGAUGUGUCAUGCUUUAAUUAAUAAAAAAUUGUAAUCAUUGGUAAGUCACUGAGGUAUAAGAGGAAUACAAAAAUAUGCGUAAUAAUCCACUCCGGGGUGGUAACAGUAACUCCGUUUCAUCACUGAUUAAUUUCCUGAGUUUUUUAUUCCUUACAUGGAAGACUCCAGUGUCUGAUGUGAAAGAACUAAGACAUCACAUUAGUGGGAAUGUGCAAGGACUGAAUAUAAUAAUAUAAUAAUGAUCAGUGCCAUUACUAAUGUAAUGUAAUGUAUACAAUGAAUAAACAUUGCUAAACUGCAUGUUACAUUAAUUUAGUCUGCUGUACUACAUCUGGCCAGAAUGCUAAGCGGCCAGAACUAACAGCUGUCGAAAGAAUGGUGACAAAUCAGGUCAGAACGCCAGCCGAGCUCAUAUUCUUGUGUUUAGUCAAUGCUGUGGGGAACUGAGAAUGUCUCAGAGUCAGCCAUAUGGUUUGAGGCAGCACACACACACACACACACACUCACUCACUCCAACAUGUCCACACACAUUCUGUCUGUCUUUCUCAGCCACAGAGACGUGACACAAAUCCAAGCACCCACAGACUGUCAUCUCGCAUGAAAAUGUAAAUAUUACCAUAUUACAACAUUGGAAAUGAUUACGAAAAGGUUACUCAGCCUCUUCGUCCACCCACUGCCAUUAUUAAUCAUUUCCUCAGUUACUAUAAUGGGUCUGAUUUUCCUGGAAAUUCGUUAGGAAUUACACGGAUACCUGUAUGCUGGCCCAAGCAAGAGGAGACAGAGCCUGGGGGUGGCAUGAGUGUGUGGGUCAUCGUGGCCAAGUGGGUGGGGCAUGAAUGCUUGAUCUGAUUAUUAUGUCACAGCAUGGGCUGAAGAUGCAUUACAUGUACUUAUACCACAGCACUGCUGAAUUCUGGCAUCUGAUUGGUCAGAAGGUAUUGAUUAACAACAGCAGAAGUUAUCGUUUCUAUAGUCACAGCUCAUUCACGGGGACUUGUACAGCAGAUGAUAAUACACGGAUUACAAAAUGUGUGUAAUCAUUACUGUGGUGAAGUUUUCGAGGUCAGUCUGUCAGAUGUAAACAUGUGCAUCUGCCAUGUCAGCUUUCCAUACAGAACUGCACGGAGAGAGGCUGUAAAACCCAACCGCUGUGGGCUAAUCAGGAAUGUCCUCACACAAUUAAGCCUCUUAUUUUCAUGGUUCAAAGCCAAGUGCAGGAUGAAGAGGGGAAAAAUGCUGAAAUAUGUAAAGAUGGAAGGAAAUCCUUAUCUGGACUUGUUUCUGGCUGUUUCUUGGGCACAAAGAAAUAAAAAAAAUGUCCCUGGUUAAAUGGUGUCAUCAUAUUAUCAUUUCUGUGAAAUCAAACAGAAGAAAGUAAGAGAGCUGUGAAUUUUAUUGGUUACUUUUUAUGUGUGAAUUUGGCACUGAACCAGUUAAUAUGCAGCAUCCUGGCAUGCCUCCGAUGAGUAUUCCAGGUUUGUGCUGUGUUUCCAUGCAGUAGUCACAAGGUCAAGGCUUUC
Molecule: long non-coding RNA, 2906 nt
Organism: Pangasianodon hypophthalmus (striped catfish)
Lineage: Eukaryota; Metazoa; Chordata; Actinopteri; Siluriformes; Pangasiidae
Exons: 3
Source: RefSeq, a predicted model, not a curated record